AUGCGAUAAGUAAUGUGAAUUGCAGAAUUCAGUGAAUCAUCGAAUCUUUGAACGCACCUUGCGCUCCUUGGUAUUCCGAGGAGCAUGCCUGUUUGAGUGUCAUUAAAUUCUCAACCUCACCAGUUUUGUUAUGAGACUGUGUAAGGCUUGGAUGUGGGGGUUUUUGCAGGCUGCCUCUGUGCGGUCUGCUCCCCUGAAAUGUAUUAGCGAGUUCACUAAGCUCCGUCUAUUGGUGUGAUAAUUAUCUACGCCGUGGAAUGGGUUUAGACUUGCUUCUAACCGUCUGCAAAGACAACUUUUGACAAUUUGACCUCAAAUCAGGUAGGACUACCCGCUGAACUUAA
RNAcentral lists this unclassified non-coding RNA (344 nucleotides) under uncultured Coprinellus. Its description in RNAcentral is "partial contains 5.8S ribosomal RNA, internal transcribed spacer 2, and large subunit ribosomal RNA". The stretch from base 1 to 102 matches the Rfam family "5.8S ribosomal RNA", at positions 53 to 154 of the family's 154-position model. Lineage: Eukaryota; Fungi; Basidiomycota; Agaricomycetes; Agaricales; Psathyrellaceae. The record is from RNAcentral.